Molecule: ribosomal RNA, 447 nt
Filed under: uncultured bacterium
Lineage: Bacteria
Description: partial 16S ribosomal RNA
Rfam family: Bacterial small subunit ribosomal RNA
Source: RNAcentral
GACGAACGCUGGCGGCGUGCUUAACACAUGCAAGUCGAGCGCCCCGCAAGGGGAGCGGCAGACGGGUGAGUAACGCGUGGGAAUCUACCCAUCCCUACGGAAUAGCUCCGGGAAACUGGAAUUAAUACCGUAUACGCCCUACGGGGGAAAGAUUUAUCGGGGAUGGAUGAGCCCGCGUUGGAUUAGCUAGUGGGUGGGGUAAAGGCCUACCAAGGCGACGAUCCAUAGCUGGUCUGAGAGGAUGAUCAGCCACAUUGGGACUGGGACACGGCCCAAACUCCUACGGGAGGCAGCAGUGGGGAAUAUUGGACAAUGGGGGCAACCCUGAUCCAGCCAUGCCGCGUGAGUGAUGAAGGCCUUAGGGUUGUAAAGCUCUUUCACCGGGGAAGAUAAUGACGGUACCCGGAGAAGAAGCCCCGGCUAACUUCGUGCCAGCAGCCGCCGCGG